RNAcentral lists this transfer RNA (75 nucleotides) under Heliobacterium chlorum. RNAcentral describes it as "tRNA-Arg". It matches the Rfam family "tRNA". From Rfam's summary of the family: Transfer RNA (tRNA) molecules are approximately 80 nucleotides in length. Their secondary structure includes four short double-helical elements and three loops (D, anti-codon, and T loops). Further hydrogen bonds mediate the characteristic L-shaped molecular structure. tRNAs have two regions of fundamental functional importance: the anti-codon, which is responsible for specific mRNA codon recognition, and the 3' end, to which the tRNAs corresponding amino acid is attached (by aminoacyl-tRNA synthetases). tRNAs cope with the degeneracy of the genetic code in two manners: having more than one tRNA (with a specific anti-codon) for a particular amino acid; and 'wobble' base-pairing, i.e. permitting non-standard base-pairing at the 3rd anti-codon position. Lineage: Bacteria; Bacillati; Bacillota; Clostridia; Eubacteriales; Heliobacteriaceae. The record is from RNAcentral.
GCGCCCGUAGCUCAGUGGAUAGAGCACUGGUCUCCGGAACCAGGUGCACAAGUUCGAUUCUUGCCGGGCGCACCA